Phlebotomus papatasi is the source of this 967-nucleotide long non-coding RNA. RefSeq lists it as uncharacterized. NCBI's taxonomy places the organism in Eukaryota, Metazoa, Arthropoda, Insecta, Diptera, Psychodidae. The record is from RefSeq and is a predicted model, not a curated record. The transcript has 3 exons.
AGGAGCAUAGCGCCCACUUCAUAAUUUCACAUGUUGAAUUCAAGGAAAUUUGCAGGUGAAAAUAUUCACUACUUUAAGACAUUAUUUAUGGUGAAAGGGGUUAAAUUGAAAAUGGUUUUCCUUGGUGUUCUGGUGUCAUUUUGAAAAAUUAUCUUUAUAACUUUUAUGCCUCCAUCUCACUUUGAAUUUAUUAAUAUUUGAGAUGUUUCUGGAGCUAUUGUAUGCUUUCGUUUUGUCUUACAUGUCAUCUUCAUCGGUAAAUGCUGAGCCAUCCCAUUGAGUAAAACGAUAGCUCGAGUGUGUUUGGAUUUGAGGAGAUAUAGGUUCCAUGUAUCUUACUCUGGGAAGAAAAGUUAUUUUUCUCCUUUUCGUAUACCGUCAGACAUAAAUUUGCAAGUUUUCCUAUGGAAUAAUUUAUGCUUCAAUUUUCCCCGGAAGCGUGACACCAUUGGGCUACAGCAUCGACAUGGAAUGGGCAAACCCCCAAGGAUGCAUGAGGAUGACGACAUAAAUUGCGAUAAGACGGAUAUGAAAGGGAAGAAUACUGCAUGGCAGGAAAGGAAGGAAAAGAAAAAAAAGGAAAACAACACAAAGUGGGAGAACAAGUGGAUGGGCAGGAAAAAAAUGAAGGGAAAUAAAUGAUUUCACGAGACGUCAGCACUUUUAGCAACAUUCUUGACUUGGGGUUGUUACCAAAAAAUUUCCUCUUGAAUUGAUAACACUCGCCCUCAACGGAAACAAACAAGAACAUUUCUUGGAAAAUGCCAGACUUUCAAAGAUGAAGGCACCCAAUUACUCAAUUUAACUCCAUUAAAAUUUCAACAGUCGAAUAAUUUAGCCCCAAUCUCAGGGAUGAGCGUCAUCAAGUGCUUGUGUGAAAGCCCUUUAAAACCCCACUCGCAUACCAAUAAAUUUGUUAAUUAAUUUAUGCACUAAGUUAGUCGAGAUUACAUUGAAAAUGUCGGAA